AUACGGAGGGGGCUAGCGUUGUUCGGAAUUACUGGGCGUAAAGCGCGCGUAGGCGGAUUGAUCAGUCAGGGGUGAAAUCCCGGAGCUUAACUCCGGAACUGCCUUUGAUACUGUCAAUCUUGAGUUCGAGAGAGGUGAGUGGAAUUCCUAGUGUAGAGGUGAAAUUCGUAGAUAUUAGGAAGAACACAGUGGCGAAGGCGGCUCACUGGCUCGAUACUGACGCUGAGGUGCGAAAGCGUGGGGAGCAAACAGGAUUAGAAACCCGAGUAGUCC
Molecule: ribosomal RNA, 273 nt
Filed under: uncultured bacterium
Lineage: Bacteria
Description: partial 16S ribosomal RNA
Rfam family: Bacterial small subunit ribosomal RNA
Source: RNAcentral